Molecule: long non-coding RNA, 366 nt
Organism: Papaver somniferum (opium poppy)
Lineage: Eukaryota; Viridiplantae; Streptophyta; Magnoliopsida; Ranunculales; Papaveraceae
Exons: 3
Source: RefSeq, a predicted model, not a curated record
GUUGUACGGAACUGUGUAGAGUCUGACGCUUAAACAAAUUGAUGUCGGGAUGUAUAAAUUUAUUCUUAGCUUCCAGGCUCAUUGUGCGUGCAUGUCUGCUAGUUAAUCAGAAUAAGAAAUGCAGUGUUAGCUUUUUCCAGGCUCAUUGUGCGUGCAUGGCUGCUAGUUAAUCAGAAUAAGAAAUGCAGUGUUCGAGUGUUCCGACUGCUUUGAAAGCAUUCCCUCUUGCAAGAUUGUUGAUAACAAGACAAGCUUGUAGCAAAUUAUUCAUUGGAGGUCUUUCUCAUGACACCAACGAACCUGUACUCAAGGAAGCUUUUGAGCAACAUGGUGAAAUCAUUGAAGUUAAGGUUAUAUGUGAUCAUC